AACGAACGCUGGCGGCAUGCCUAACACAUGCAAGUCGAACGAGACCUUCGGGUCUAGUGGCGCACGGGUGCGUAACGCGUGGGAACCUGCCCUUAGGUUCGGAAUAACUCCCCGAAAGGGGUGCUAAUACCGGAUAAUGUCUUCGGACCAAAGAUUUAUCGCCUUUGGAUGGGCCCGCGUUGGAUUAGCUAGUUGGUAGGGUAAAAGCCUACCAAGGCGACGAUCCAUAGCUGGUCUGAGAGGAUGAUCAGCCACACUGGGACUGAGACACGGCCCAGACUCCUACGGGAGGCAGCAGUGGGGAAUAUUGGAAAAUGGGCGAAAGCCUGAUCCAGCAAUGCCGCGUGAGUGAUGAAGGCCUGAGGGUUGUAAAGCUCUUUUACCCGGGAUGAUAAUGACAGUACCGGGAGAAUAAGCUCCGGCUAACUCCGUG
RNAcentral lists this ribosomal RNA (433 nucleotides) under uncultured bacterium. Its description in RNAcentral is "partial 16S ribosomal RNA". It matches the Rfam family "Bacterial small subunit ribosomal RNA", at positions 29 to 507 of the family's 1533-position model. The record is from RNAcentral.